GAUGAACGCUAGCUACAGGCUUAACACAUGCAAGUCGAGGGGCAGCAUGGUCUUAGCUUGCUAAGGCCGAUGGCGACCGGCGCACGGGUGAGUAACACGUAUCCAACCUGCCGUCUACUCUUGGACAGCCUUCUGAAAGGAAGAUUAAUACAAGAUGGCAUCAUGAGUCCGCAUGUUCACAUGAUUAAAGGUAUUCCGGUAGACGAUGGGGAUGCGUUCCAUUAGAUAGUAGGCGGGGUAACGGCCCACCGAGGCGACGAUGCGUAGGGGUUCUGAGAGGAAGGUCCCCCACACUGGUACUGAGACACGGACCAG
Molecule: ribosomal RNA, 315 nt
Filed under: uncultured bacterium
Lineage: Bacteria
Description: bacterial SSU rRNA
Rfam family: Bacterial small subunit ribosomal RNA
Source: RNAcentral